Molecule: long non-coding RNA, 2307 nt
Organism: Macaca mulatta (Rhesus monkey)
Lineage: Eukaryota; Metazoa; Chordata; Mammalia; Primates; Cercopithecidae
Source: RefSeq, a predicted model, not a curated record
CGGCAGAGUUCUCCCAAAAGCGGGUGAACUGGCGCUCUGUGGAGGACGUGGAGGGCAGCAGCACAAUGGACAGCGUCUGGGGCCUCAGGCCAGUUCCACAGCAGUUUAGGAAAGCAGGCGGCUCCCUGGGCCGAAGGAGGCGGGACGCUUUGGAGGGAAACCGAGCUGAGCAGCGGGAGGUGGAGUGAGGCUGAGACCCGCCCGAUUUGGGCAAAGGCGAGGUGCACUUCGCAGCGUCACAACCACCUCACUACUCAGCUCAGACCUGCCCCUCAAGUCCCUCUCCGGACUCACUUCCCUUAGGUAGGGUGGCACAGAAUCAGUGGCCAGCAUAGGUUUGUAAGCAGACAGGCCCACACAACCCUGCUCCUCCCUCUGAGGCUGCACACCACCCGCUAGCCCGGCGAUUGCUGGGACUGUGGGCCGGUAGCCCCGCGACCAAUGGCCGAAAGCGGUUAAAAAACUACUCCUCCCAGCAUGCCUGACGAGGCGCGCACCGCCCUCCCCUUCCCGCCAAGUAUCAUCACAAACCCUACUCCCGUUGCAUGCUGGGAUUGUAGUCCCGAAGCCCUGCGAACAAAGGCCAAAAGCAGUUAAGAAACUACUUCUCCCAGCAUGCCUCCCUCCAGGUGUCCUUACCAACCCCACUCCCGUUGCAUGCUGGGAUUGUAGUCCCGCAGCCCUGCGACCAACGGCCGAGAGCGGCUAAGACACUACUCUUGCCAGCAUGUCCUGCAGUAGGGCACCGCGCUAUGUCUCCCUCCAGGGAUCUGCACCACCUACAAUCCCGUUUCACGCUGGGACUGUAGUCCUGCAAGCCUACAACUAACAGCUGGGUGCGGAUAAGGGACUACAGUUCCCCUCAUUCCCAGCAAAGGUCCCGCCGCCACCGAGCUCCUCCAGGAUUCCAGUGCAGUUCCGCCGUGCGGAGGGAAGCUUGGCUGUUCACAAACCUCUCCUGCCCUCGAGGAGACAGCUUGGCAGGAGCGGCCGAUCUCACCUUGUCAUUGUGACACGGUGUCUCCCCAAAGUGCCGACUUCAUGACUUGUUGUGCCCAAAGUUUAAUUUCCCACAGAACAGGUAGAGGCCAAGAGCUUCUCGCAGCCUCAGCCGCAGGGUUGCCAUGGUAACGUUCGUUUCUUCCCUCCCCGCCCCCCACCCGCCACUGGCCGUCUGGACCCCACCCCGUCCCUCUGAGGGGCCUCUCCUUUUAACCCCGCCGUCUAUUGUCCCUCCCCUCGCCACAUGCGCAGUGCUGCCACUUGGUCCCGCGAGGGAAGCUCCCUUUUGAGUGUCCGAAACCGUUAGUUUGCUGCCUCAUGUGAAGGUACCCAGUCUCUGGUAACCUGGCACUUCACUUUUGAAAACCACCUUUUUCCUGCACCUCUUUGCUCCCCAGAUGCACCUACUGGACCCCGGGCUGGCUGUAUGGCCCGCGUCUGGGUCAGGCCUCGCACGCAGACGCUCCUGCCACCGUGAUGAAGAGGAGAAAAUGUCCCAGGGGAAAGGCCUGACCUUGCUGCAUUCAGUCAGGAAACAGCCAUGGGGAAGGGACCCCCUUAAACUACUUUGGGAGCCACAUCCACCACUUCUCUGCCCCCUACCCAGGCUGGUUCCCAGGCCUUGGGGUCCUAGUGUGGACCUCCCUGCCGUAAUUAACGCAGGUGCAGGACCAGAGAGCGCCUUGGUCCCUCCGAACACAUGAGGAAAGUUUGUGUGGUGAGGUUUGGACAGUGUCUGUGUUUCUGCCCUGAAUAGGGUUCCCUAGAAAAUCUUUAUCCAUUUUUAAAUACUCUCUUUGGUACCACUUUUAAGACUUUGCCGGUGGAAAUUAACAGUGAUCAUUUUUUUGAAUCCAUUUUUCUAUUUGCUUUUUAAGAUUAACUCUUAAGUACUCCACAGCUACACGCUUCUGAAACUGGCGGAGGCACAGCGUCAGUUCUGUACAGGGCGGACGCAGCAGGACAGAAUCUCCCUGGGCAUCUUUCUGGAGCAUCAAAUUUACUGCAAGAUUUUAAAGAAACAAAUUUAGUUGAUUUCCAAGAGGAAAGGCCAUGUGAAGAUGCAGCUAGAAGGUGGCCAUCUGCAGGCCGGAAAGCAAGCCCUCACCAGGAACCAACCCUGACAGCACCUUGAUCUAGACAUCCAGCCUGCAGAACUGUGAGAAAAUAAACUGCUGCUGCUUAACCACCCAAUCUAUGGCAGCCCUAGCCAAGUCAUACAGGAGGGAAGGUGGCCAAUAAAGAGUGUAUUGUUAAGCCAGCUACCCCUGUAGGCAAUGAAGGUUGGCCUACUGCAGAACUCUC